GGACCAAAGAGGGGGACCUUCGGGCCUCUUGCCAUCAGAUGUGCCCAGAUGGGAUUAGCUAGUUGGUGAGGUAACGGCUCACCAAGGCGACGAUCCCUAGCUGGUCUGAGAGGAUGACCAGCCACACUGGAACUGAGACACGGUCCAGACUCCUACGGGAGGCAGCAGUGGGGAAUAUUGCACAAUGGGCGCAAGCCUGAUGCAGCCAUGCCGCGUGUAUGAAGAAGGCCUUCGGGUUGUAAAGUACUUUCAGCGGGGAGGAAGGGGAUAAGGCUAAUAACCUUGUUCAUUGACGUUACCCGCAGAAGAAGCACCGGCUAACUCCGUGCCAGCAGCCGCGGUAAUACGGAGGGUGCAAGCGUUAAUCGGAAUUACUGGGCGUAAAGCGCACGCAGGCGGUCUGUCAAGUCGGAUGUGAAAUCCCCGGGCUCAACCUGGGAAC
RNAcentral lists this ribosomal RNA (442 nucleotides) under Salmonella enterica subsp. arizonae. RNAcentral describes it as "bacterial SSU rRNA". It matches the Rfam family "Bacterial small subunit ribosomal RNA", at positions 198 to 621 of the family's 1533-position model. The record is from RNAcentral. Lineage: Bacteria; Pseudomonadati; Pseudomonadota; Gammaproteobacteria; Enterobacterales; Enterobacteriaceae.